GACGAACGCUGGCGGCGUGCCUAAUACAUGCAAGUAGAACGCACAGUUUAUACCGUAGCUUGCUACACCAUAAACUGUGAGUUGCGAACGGGUGAGUAACGCGUAGGUAACCUGCCUGGUAGCGGGUGAUAACUAUUGGAAACGAUAGCUAAUACCGCAUAAUAUUGAUUAUUGCAUGAUAAUUGAUUGAAAGAUGCUAUUGCAUCACUACCAGAUGGACCUGCGUUGUAUUAGCUAGUAGGUGAGGUAACGGCUCACCUAGGCGACGAUACAUAGCCGACCUGAGAGGGUGAUCGGCCACACUGGGACUGAGACACGGCCCAGACUCCUACGGGAGGCAGCAGUAGGGAAUCUUCGGCAAUGGACGAAAGUCUGACCGAGCAACGCCGCGUGAGUGAAGAAGGUUUUCGGAUCGUAAAGCUCUGUUGUAAGAGAAGAACGGGUGUGAGAGUGGAAAGUUCACACUGUGACGGUAUCUUACCAGAAAGGGACGGCUAACUACGUG
RNAcentral lists this ribosomal RNA (505 nucleotides) under uncultured bacterium. RNAcentral describes it as "partial 16S ribosomal RNA". It matches the Rfam family "Bacterial small subunit ribosomal RNA", at positions 28 to 507 of the family's 1533-position model. The record is from RNAcentral.